This 506-nucleotide ribosomal RNA is filed under the name uncultured bacterium. RNAcentral describes it as "partial 16S ribosomal RNA". It matches the Rfam family "Bacterial small subunit ribosomal RNA", at positions 899 to 1397 of the family's 1533-position model. The record is from RNAcentral.
ACUCAAAUGAAUUGACGGGGGCUCACACAAGCGGUGGAGCAUGUUGCUUAAUUCGAGGCAACGCGAAGAACCUUACCUGGGUUUGACAUGGUCGGAUUAACUCGGUGAAAGCCGAGCCACGCCCGCAAGGGUGGAACGAUCACAGGUGCUGCAUGGCUGUCGUCAGCUCGUGCUGUGAAGUGUCGGGUUAAGUCCCUUAACGAGCGCAACCCCUGUCGUUAGUUGCUCACGCGUCAUGGCGAGUACUCUAGCGAGACUGCCGGUGUCAAACCGGAGGAAGGUGGGGAUGACGUCAAGUCCUCAUGGCCCUUACAUCCAGGGUUGCAAACGUGCUACAAUGGCGCGCACAAAGCGACGCGAGGCCGCGAGGCGGAGCAAAUCGCAAAAAUCGCGCCCCAGUUCGGAUUGCAGGCUGCAACUCGCCUGCAUGAAGUCGGAAUCGCUAGUAAUCGCGGAUCAGCUACGCCGCGGUGAAUAAGUUCCUGAGCCUUGUACACACCGCCCGU